This 247-nucleotide long non-coding RNA is filed under the name Lathyrus oleraceus (garden pea). Its description in RNAcentral is "Pisum sativum (pea) long non-coding RNA (PSAT_LNC028802)". Lineage: Eukaryota; Viridiplantae; Streptophyta; Magnoliopsida; Fabales; Fabaceae. The record is from RNAcentral.
UAAUAGUAAAAUUAACUAACCAAGAUUUGUUUGAUUUUUUCUUUUAAUAAUAAUAACAGUACCUAAUGUUACUAAUAAUAUCAAAAUAUAAUAAUAAUAGUUAUAAUAGUAAAUAAAUAAAUAAAAAGAAGAAGAAUAGAAAAUGAACUAAAAUAAGAAAAAUGAGAAGAAAUAAAAAUUAAUAAAAUGUCCCAACAUAAUUCAAACCUAGGACCCUAUGUUUGCCACUCUUCAUACUUAAACUCUC